This 274-nucleotide ribosomal RNA is filed under the name uncultured bacterium. Its description in RNAcentral is "partial 16S ribosomal RNA". It matches the Rfam family "Bacterial small subunit ribosomal RNA", at positions 523 to 796 of the family's 1533-position model. The record is from RNAcentral.
AUACGGAGGGGGCUAGCGUUGUUCGGAAUUACUGGGCGUAAAGCGCGCGUAGGCGGCUUAUCAAGUUAGGCGUGAAAGGCCUGGGCUCAACCCGGGAACUGCGCUUAAUACUGGUAGACUUGAGUCCGGGAGAGGGUGGCGGAAUUCCCAGUGUAGAGGUGAAAUUCGUAGAUAUUGGGAAGAACACCAGUGGCGAAGGCGGCCACCUGGCCCGGUACUGACGCUGAGGUGCGAAAGCGUGGGGAGCAAACAGGAUUAGAAACCCUGGUAGUCC